ACAACAAGAAUGACAAGGUUGAGGUGAGCGUGUGGUGCGCCGAUCGACGGCGUUGCUAGGUGGCAUGGUCGUGGUGCAGGAAGGCGAACCACAUGUGGUUGGUGGGGUGAUAUGGUUUCGACUAGCAGU
This 129-nucleotide small nucleolar RNA is filed under the name Leersia perrieri. RNAcentral's name for it is "snoRNA snoZ206". It matches the Rfam family "Small nucleolar RNA Z206". From Rfam's summary of the family: Z206 is a member of the C/D class of snoRNA which contain the C (UGAUGA) and D (CUGA) box motifs. Most of the members of the box C/D family function in directing site-specific 2'-O-methylation of substrate RNAs. The record is from Rfam by way of RNAcentral. Lineage: Eukaryota; Viridiplantae; Streptophyta; Magnoliopsida; Poales; Poaceae.